ACGGGUGAGUAACGCGUGGGAACGUACCUUUUGGUUCGGAACAACUGAGGGAAACUUCAGCUAAUACCGGAUAAGCCCUUACGGGGAAAGAUUUAUCGCCGAAAGAUCGGCCCGCGUCUGAUUAGCUAGUUGGUGAGGUAAUGGCUCACCAAGGCGACGAUCAGUAGCUGGUCUGAGAGGAUGAUCAGCCACAUUGGGACUGAGACACGGCCCAAACUCCUACGGGAGGCAGCAGUGGGGAAUAUUGGACAAUGGGCGAAAGCCUGAUCCAGCCAUGCCGCGUGAGUGAUGAAGGCCCUAGGGUUGUAAAGCUCUUUUGUGCGGGAAGAUAAUGACGGUACCGCAAGAAUAAGCCCCGGCUAACUUCGUGCCAGCAGCCGCGGUAAUACGAAGGGGGCCAGCGUUACUCGGAAUCACUGGGCGUAAAGGGUGCGUAGGCGGGUUCUUAAGUCAGAGGUGAAAUCCUGGAGCUCAACUCCAGAACUGCCUUUGAUACUGAGAGUCUUGAGUAUGACAGAGGUGAGUGGAACUGCGAGUGUAGAGGUGAAAUUCGUAGA
This 557-nucleotide ribosomal RNA is filed under the name uncultured bacterium. RNAcentral's name for it is "bacterial SSU rRNA". It matches the Rfam family "Bacterial small subunit ribosomal RNA", at positions 102 to 694 of the family's 1533-position model. The record is from RNAcentral.